AGUUGGGAAUACCCGAAGCCUGUGAGCUAACGUAAGAGGCAGCAGUCGAAGGCAGAAUCAAUGAUUGGGGUGAAGUCGUAACAAGGUACC
RNAcentral lists this ribosomal RNA (90 nucleotides) under uncultured bacterium. Its description in RNAcentral is "partial 16S ribosomal RNA". The record is from RNAcentral.